UGGGAGGUCGUCCAAUGGUAGGACUGCGGACUCUGGAUCCGCCUAUCGGGGUUCGAAUCCCUGCCUCCCAGCCA
This 74-nucleotide transfer RNA is filed under the name Acidobacteriota bacterium. Its description in RNAcentral is "Acidobacteria bacterium (wastewater metagenome) tRNA-Gln". It matches the Rfam family "tRNA". From Rfam's summary of the family: Transfer RNA (tRNA) molecules are approximately 80 nucleotides in length. Their secondary structure includes four short double-helical elements and three loops (D, anti-codon, and T loops). Lineage: Bacteria; Pseudomonadati; Acidobacteriota. The record is from RNAcentral.